Long non-coding RNA from Oxyura jamaicensis (ruddy duck), 2169 nucleotides. RefSeq lists it as uncharacterized. The transcript is spliced from 4 exons. NCBI's taxonomy places the organism in Eukaryota, Metazoa, Chordata, Aves, Anseriformes, Anatidae. The record is from RefSeq and is a predicted model, not a curated record.
UGGUGAUUACUACAGCUGAGGGGAGACUUGCCAGGUUUGUGUGGCAGCUGUGUCAGUGUGCUCUGAAGUCACUACAGGAACAGGAGUUCGGGAGCUUCCUGGAGGAAGCCUCCAUGAGAGCAACAGAAAGUGUGUGUUUUAGGAGUAAAAUAAACUAGGCUUAUGAGGGAAGCUAGCUUUUCCAAGGAAAUGAUUUCCAUGGAGAGGUUUCUUGAUGCAAGAACUUUGUGAGCCCUUGCUCAGAAGCAGAGGAAGUGCCCAAAGGCUGUGAAUGAAACUGCUGAACAUUUCACAGAUACUGCAAGGGGCAACUUCUGCCCCAUGCAGUUUACAGAAAAAAAAAUAAGCAAGACAGCCAAAAGCAGGAGGCAAUAACCAAGAGAGGGAUUUGGCAUGAAAUCUGCUGCAAGAACAUGCAAAUGUGGGAAGGAACAGAGAGCUCUGCUGCUGCAGAUUUCUGUCAGGGUUAGUGAAUACUGCUGUGCUGGAGCGCAGCUGUGAGGAUUGGAGCCGGCUGCCACGGAACUGGUCAUGGUAAGAAAUGCUUGUGUGAGGAGUUCAGCAAGAUUUCUAUAUUCAGGACUUCUUCUUUCAUGAUCUACUACUAUUUUCUGCAAAGUUUCAAGUAAUUUGCUUUUCUGAAUCAAGCUAUAAAGCUUUUAACUAUAAAAUUGAUCUCCCCAUAAAGUACAUGUUGUGUUCUAAUACCGUAAUUACCUAAGGCCUGAUCUUCCAACCUUUGAUGGCAUAAAUAAUCUUUAUUCAUCUAUCUAAUCUUACUGAUUGAAUAUAGGAGGAGUCAAGUGACUUGAGCCUAUCUGCUAGUGUAGCCUGCUACUCAGCUUUCCUAAAUCACAAUUUGUUUUCACAUGGAUAAGUGAUUUAAGUGAAGGGUUAACGCUGUUCUGUCUCUCUUAAUUUAAGAUUUGGAAGACAAUUAUAAUUCAAAAUGCUUCUCCUAGUUGAGACUCCUUAGGAAAAACAUAUACAUAGCCUAGAGCUAGAAGUCCAACUUUGCUUUUAAAUGCAAAUAUUUUAACAAGUAUAACAUACAGAAGCAUGAACUAUCAAUUAUUCCUACUAGGCAUAUGUAAAACAUCUUGUUUAUCACAAAGAGACCAAAUUAGGCUAAAAAUGUAAAAUAAAAAUUUGUAAUUGAAGUGUUGCCUGGUCUCCUUUGAAACUGCCCAUUGUUCUUAUCAGCAGUAGCCUUCAGGUUGCCUUGAUGCAUCUGAAUGGAUCUUUCAAUAAGAAAAGUUGGCAACUGCCAGUAGUGGCCCUCUGUGGCAUUUGUCAUGCAAUAACAUCUGUCGUGCAAUGACUUUUUAUUGAGGAUGGUGUUAGAGCAGUGUGCUAUUUACAAACACUAGCCUGUCAGAUAAAAGUAAAGAAAUUAGUUUCCCCUUACUUUCAUUCUCUAAAUGUCUUAUUGGUAAGUACAGAAUGACAAGGGGAAACAUUUCAAGUAAGGUAGAGUGGAUUUCCUAGCUUACCUACAAACACAAGCAUAUAGCCAAAAGUUCAUGCAAUUUUUUUAGGAAGUUGUAACUUCAGUGUUUGUUUUAUUUUAUUAUUACAUUCCAGCUUUAAUUGCAUUAGGCUGAAGGCAGAUCAACUACAAGUUUCAACAAAUGUUGCUCUUAAUUUUCAGUAUGCUAUUGAUUCAGUCUAAAUCAAGUCAGACUACUGCUUAUCUCCAUGUCCCCAGAAAAUUUUGUUCUGAGACAGUAUAUUCUCUGCCUCCACCCAGAUAUUUCAGAGCUACAGCUGGACUAAGUCCUCAGGGUGAUUUUGUUGCAUUAUUUUGCAGACAUGAUGGCUGUUUUACUAACACUUUUUCUCAAGGGAGAGUUGAUAAUUUUGGACCAGGAAAUAAUUGUCUUAAUCAUACCCAAUGUUUCUUCUUCAGGUUUCUAAAGUGUGUAUUCACGUGCCCAGGAUUAAUAUGAAUGUUAAGUAUCUAUAUGGCACAGUCCCGUGACUCAUAUGCUCUGAAAACAUGCCCUGAUCAUCCAGUUAUCUUUGGAAACUUUCAGUGAGGUUAACAUUGCAUCAGAGCAGUCCAUGUUGUUUGUUUUAAUGUGUGUUGUUUUUGUUUUCUCUUUAAUAUGUCCUCUAAGUUCUUUUGUACCUUGAAGUCUUAAAUCCAUGGCACUUAGUGGCAUGUUC